CCGGAUGCUCCGACUCCUCGCAUGGGGUGUCGGGAAAGAUUUCAUCGGUAUGGGAUGGGGUCGCGUCCUAUCAGGUAGUCGGCGGGGUAACGGCCCACCGAGCCUACGACGGGUAGCCGGCCUGAGAGGGCGACCGGCCACAUUGGGACUGAGAUACGGCCCAGACUCCUACGGGAGGCAGCAGUGGGGAAUAUUGCACAAUGGGCGCAAGCCUGAUGCAGCGACGCCGCGUGCGGGAUGACGGCCUUCGGGUUGUAAACCGCUUUUGAUCGGGAGCAAGCCUUCGGGUGAGUGUACCUUUCGAAUAAGCACCGGCUAACUACGUGCCAGCAGCCGCGGUAAUACGUAGGGUGCAAGCGUUAUCCGGAAUUAUUGGGCGUAAAGGGCUCGUAGGCGGUUCGUCGCGUCCGGUGUGAAAGUCCAUCGCUUAACGGUGGAUCUGCGCCGGGUACGGGCGGGCUGGAGUGCGGUAGGGGAGACUGGAAUUCCCGGUGUAACGGUGGAAUGUGUAGAUAUC
Molecule: ribosomal RNA, 517 nt
Filed under: Bifidobacterium pseudocatenulatum
Lineage: Bacteria; Bacillati; Actinomycetota; Actinomycetes; Bifidobacteriales; Bifidobacteriaceae
Description: bacterial SSU rRNA
Rfam family: Bacterial small subunit ribosomal RNA
Source: RNAcentral